UACGUAGGGCGCAAGCGUUGUCCGGAAUUAUUGGGCGUAAAGAGCUCGUAGGCGGCCUGUUACGUCUGCUGUGAAAUCCCGGGGCUUAACCCCGGGCGUGCAGUAGAUACGGGCAGGCUGGAGGCAGGCAGGGGAGAACGGAAUUCCCGGUGUAGCGGUGAAAUGCGCAGAUAUCAGGAGGAACACCGAUGGCGAAGGCAGCUCGCUGGGACGGUACUGACGCUGAGGCGCGAAAGCGUGGGGAGCAAACAGG
Molecule: ribosomal RNA, 253 nt
Filed under: uncultured bacterium
Lineage: Bacteria
Description: partial 16S ribosomal RNA
Rfam family: Bacterial small subunit ribosomal RNA
Source: RNAcentral